RNAcentral lists this long non-coding RNA (256 nucleotides) under Eucalyptus grandis. RNAcentral's name for it is "long non-coding RNA (EGRA_LNC004897)". Lineage: Eukaryota; Viridiplantae; Streptophyta; Magnoliopsida; Myrtales; Myrtaceae. The record is from RNAcentral.
AGGGAAAUCUCGAUUCGCGAUAGCACUCGAUGCCGAGUCCAAGUCCGACCUAUGCAACGCCAGCAAAAUGGACGAACUUGAAUCCCCGAGAACGAAGAGAACAACCUCCCGCACAUCGAACUCCCUCCACGUUUCCAUCGCUUCCAGCUGGAAAGAGCGAUCGAAACCCCCUGGAAAAACUACGACUCGCCGUUUCAGCAAGCAUUUCGUCGCGGCAUCAGGGUUGAAGGUGUCGAAAUAAGGACGCGUGUUCCCC